Molecule: long non-coding RNA, 317 nt
Filed under: Zonotrichia albicollis (white-throated sparrow)
Lineage: Eukaryota; Metazoa; Chordata; Aves; Passeriformes; Passerellidae
Description: lncRNA (ENSZALG00000005724.1)
Source: RNAcentral
AGACAUUAAAAUUAUAUUUUUCUCACAUAUUAUUCCUCUGUGAAUUACCUGAGGCCGAGGCCUUGAUCAUUUUGUCAGGCAAGAAAUUCCAGUCUGAAUACAGACCAGCACAACUUGUGGCUUGGACAACAAAAGCCUUGGACCACAAGGACUUCGGAUACCUGGAAAAACAUGGAGAGAACAUGGGGACAGCUGCUGGCUGUGUAAAUCUAGAAGAAUUCCUGAUUUAUAGACAAAACAGAUCAGAAGAGACAGGAUUCCCACAGGCCUCUCUCUCACUGUCAGUAGCAGCAGAGUUAACCAUCAAUGUGGCCUGA